RNAcentral lists this long non-coding RNA (1433 nucleotides) under Olea europaea subsp. europaea. The record is from RNAcentral. Lineage: Eukaryota; Viridiplantae; Streptophyta; Magnoliopsida; Lamiales; Oleaceae.
UUUGCAUUGUACAUACAUACAUUCUGAUUUUUAGCAUAUGAUGCAUAACUGUAGGUGAGUCAUGCCUCGUGGUGGUAAAACUCGAAGGCUCCAAGAUAUGUUGCCCCAAUCUCACAUUGCUCCUGAUAGACCUAGAGAGUUCGAGAGGGUAGAAGAAUCAGUUCACCAACCUCCUGAACAACGGGGAUAGGAAAAUGUGAUUGGAACUGAUUCUAUGAUUGUUGAAAGAAUUGUUAUUGUUGUUGCAUCCGCUAUGCAUAAUAUUGAGAGAGAUUUCAGUAAUGAAAGGGCUACAAAAUUAGGGGCUAAAGUUUUCACUAGAACAGCCGAUCCUGCAGUUGCUCAGGCAUGGAUGACCAAGAUAGAGAGGGUAUUUGAUGUUAUGGGUUGCUCAAAUGAUGGAAAGUUGUGUCUUGCCACUUUCUUAUUAGAGAAGAGUGCGUAUGAUUGGUGGCAGUCGGUACGGAGCACAUAUCUAAACCCUUCCAUCAUCACUUGGAUAGAUUUUUGGCGUAUCUUUUACGAUGCCUAUUACCCUUGAUCCUAUAAAGAUGUAAAACAGGAGAAAGUUUUGAAACUAGUACAAGACCAUAUGAUUAUUGUAGAAUAUCAGGUGAAAUUUAUUGAACUUUCAAAAUAUACCUAAGUUUUGGUAAGCAACAAAAUGGAUAAAUGCAGUUGAUUUGAAAAUAGGUUAAGGGAAGAGAUCCGAUCAGUAGUAACAGCUGGAGGCUGGAACGAACUUGGGAAAUUGGUGGAAUCAGCUUUGAGAGUAGAAAAGAGCAUUAUAGUAGGCCAAGUGGUAGAGAACAAACAAUAUUUAGAGCAAACAGUAGUCAAACAAUGACAAGUGCUUCUAGUAAUAGACCCCCAUGAAGGACAGUAGAGGAUUUCGACCUGGUGUAUCCAGUUCAGAUCAAUUCAAAUCUCGAUUUCAAGAAAGCCAGGGUCCUAGAUUCAGUCCCAAUACUGUGCAGCAACCAUUGGCCAGUCGUACUUAUACUCGGGGUUCUUCCCAAAGAUCAUUUACUCCGAGACAGGGAGAGAGUUCUACUAGUGCCAGAUUUCCUUCUUGCAAGUAAUGUGAAAGAUCUCAUCCUGAAGAGUGCUUAAAGUUCAAGGGAGCUGGUGUUUGCUAUCACUGUGGCUAAGAAGGACAUCUGAAAAGGAACUGCCCAGUUGUAUUCCAUGAGAGUGGCAUGGCAUAGAGGAUGUUUCCUCAACAGAGUGCUAGUACUACAAGACAGAAUCAGACUCAGAGAAAUGAUUCAGCUAACAGAGAAAGUGCAAACAGUGCGGCCCAGUCUAAUAUCGCAAGCGAUAGUGGUACAAAAUCAAAAGGUCAAGCAGGACAACCGAAGGCCCAGGGCAAAGUUUUUGCUAUGACUCAACAGAUGGCAGAGGAGUUACCAGAUGUUAUCAUGGGUAUGUUG